This 226-nucleotide long non-coding RNA is filed under the name Capsicum annuum. Its description in RNAcentral is "long non-coding RNA (CANN_LNC022333)". The record is from RNAcentral. Lineage: Eukaryota; Viridiplantae; Streptophyta; Magnoliopsida; Solanales; Solanaceae.
GCAAACAUGAAUGCAACAUAAGAGCAAUCUGUUUAAACAGAUCCAUCAUCUAUGGAACUAGAUAAAUGUUCUGUUGAUACCGUAGACUCAUGUUGGAUUCAUGUUUAUGGUUCUAGGUGCCCGUAAUAUGUCGAAUAGAUGGACAUUCUUUUGCAACAGAUUAGUAAUCUGUUUCAACAGAUAAAUACUCUGUUGCACCAAAUUAGUUAUCUGUUCCAAUAGUGUA